Molecule: small nucleolar RNA, 133 nt
Organism: Nannospalax galili (Upper Galilee mountains blind mole rat)
Lineage: Eukaryota; Metazoa; Chordata; Mammalia; Rodentia; Spalacidae
Gene: SNORA70
Rfam family: Small nucleolar RNA SNORA70
About the family: snoRNA U70 seems to be exclusive to mammals and is a member of the H/ACA class of snoRNA which contain H (ANANNA) and ACA box motifs.
Source: Ensembl
CUGUAGUCAAUUAAGCUGACUAGGUUCCUUUCCUCAUGGGCCUGGUGUGAGACGGCGGUAAAUAGCAGCCUCUGUUGUAGUGUGUGCAGUCUGUCGCCUAUAUGGGUUGCCCUAAGGGACCUUGGAGACAGUU